CUCAGGUUGGGUCAGUUCAAGAUGGGUCAGCUCAAGGUGGGGACAUCCAGAGAUGGUUGGGACACAAAAAUGGGUCAAUCCAAGGUGGACAAACCAAGGUUGGUCAACUCAAGGUGGGUCAACCCAAGGUGGGUCACUCCAAGGUGGGUCAACUCAAGGUGGGUCAAUCAAGGUGGGAAACCCAAGGUGGGGACAUCCAGAGAUGGCUGGGACACAAAAAUGGGUCAAUCCAAGAUGGGUCAACUCAAAUUGGGUCAAUGCAGGUGGGCAACCCAAGGUGGGUCAAUCAAGGUGGGUCAAUUCACAUUGGGUCAAUCCAGGUGGGUCAACUCAAGGUGGAGACAUCCAGAGGUGGUUGGGACAAAAAAAUGGGUCAAUCCAAGGUGGACAACCAAAGGUUGGUCAAUCAAGGUGGGUCACUCCAAGGUGGGUCAAUCCAGGUGGGUCAACUCAAGGUGGGGACAUCCAGACGUGGUUGGGACCCAAAGAUGGGUCAGUCCAGGUGGGUCAGUCAAGGCGGACAACUCAAGGUUGGUCAGCUCAAGGUGGGUCAAUGCAGGGUGGGGCAAUCAAGGUGCUCAAUCCAAGGUGGGGCAAUCAAGGUGGGGACAUCCAGAGGUGGUUGGGAGCCAAAGAUGGGUCAAUCCAAGGUGGACAACCCAAGGUGGGUCAGGUCAAUUUGGGUCAGCUCAAUUUGGGUCAAUCCAAGGUGGGGACAUCCAGAGGUGGUUGGGACAAUGUGCUGAUUUGACCAGGAAGUGGGAAUGCUGUGGUCAAACCAAUGGGUGCUCAGAUUUUGGUGGCUCAGCCCAAGGUGGGUCAAACCAAGAUGGACAUCCUGGGCAGGGCCACCCCAAGGUGUGGUGGGCAGCCAGGGCUAGGUCAGCCCAAGGUGGGGCACCCGGGAGUGGCGUCACCCCAAAGCGAUGCCAACCUGGAGGCGGGGUCACCAGGAAGUGGGGAUUCCCCAGGGCGGGGCGAUGAUGGCAUCACCUGGGGGUGUGGUCACCUGGGCGUGUGGUCCUGAUGUUGUUGUCGUCUGG
RNAcentral lists this long non-coding RNA (1043 nucleotides) under Zonotrichia albicollis (white-throated sparrow). RNAcentral's name for it is "lncRNA (ENSZALG00000001083.1)". Lineage: Eukaryota; Metazoa; Chordata; Aves; Passeriformes; Passerellidae. The record is from RNAcentral.